AACAGGAUUAGAUACCCUGGUAGUCCACGCCGUAAACGAUGUCGACUUGGAGGUUGUGCCCUUGAGGCGUGGCUUCCGGAGCUAACGCGUUAAGUCGACCGCCUGGGGAGUACGGCCGCAAGGUUAAAACUCAAAUGAAUUGACGGGGGCCCGCACAAGCGGUGGAGCAUGUGGUUUAAUUCGAUGCAACGCGAAGAACCUUACCUGGUCUUGACAUCCACAGAACUUUCCAGAGAUGGGUUGGUGCCUUCGGGAACUGUGAGACAGGUGCUGCAUGGCUGUCGUCAGCUCGUGUUGUGAAAUGUUGGGUUAAGUCCCGCAACGAGCGCAACCCUUAUCCUUUGUUGCCAGCGGUCCGGCCGGGAACUCAAAGGAGACUGCAGUGAUAAACUGGAGGAAGGUGGGGAUGACGUCAAGUCAUCAUGGCCCUUACGACCAGGGCUACACACGUGCUACAAUGGCGCAUACAAAGAGAAGCGACCUCGCGAGAGCAAGCGGACCUCAUAAAGUGCGUCGUAGUCCGGAUUGGAGUCUGCAACUCGACUCCAUGAAGUCGGAAUCGCUAGUAAUCGUGGAUCAGAAUGCCACGGUGGAUACGUUCCCGGGCCUUGUACACACCGCCCGUCACACCAUGGGAGUGGGUUGCAAAAGAAGUAGGUAGCUUAACCUUCGGGAGGGCGCUUACCACUUUGUGAUUCAUGACUGGGGUGAAGUCGUAACAAGGUAACC
RNAcentral lists this ribosomal RNA (729 nucleotides) under uncultured bacterium. RNAcentral's name for it is "bacterial SSU rRNA". It matches the Rfam family "Bacterial small subunit ribosomal RNA", at positions 771 to 1501 of the family's 1533-position model. The record is from RNAcentral.